CUUACCUAUCAGAGGGGGAUAACCCGGCGAAAGUCGGACUAAUACCGCAUGAAGCAGGGGCCCCGCAUGGGGAUAUUUGCUAAAGAUUCAUCGCUGAUAGAUAGGCAUGCGUUCCAUUAGGCAGUUGGCGGGGUAACGGCCCACCAAGCCGACGAUGGAUAGGGGUUCUGAGAGGAAGGUCCCCCACAUUGGUACUGAGACACGGACCAAACUCCUACGGGAGGCAGCAGUGAGGAAUAUUGGUCAAUGGCCGAGAGGCUGAACCAGCCAAGUCGCGUGAGGGAUGAAGGUUCUAUGGAUCGUAAACCUCUUUUAUAAGGGAAUAAAGUGCGGGACGUGUCCCGUUUUGUAUGUACCUUAUGAAUAAGGAUCGGCUAACUCCGUGCCAGCAGCCGCGGUAAUACGGAGGAUCCGAGCGUUAUCCGGAUUUAUUGGGUUUAAAGGGUGCGUAGGCGGCCUUUUAAGUCAGCGGUGAAAGUCUGUGGCUCAACCAUAGAAUUGCCGUUGAAACUGGGGGGCUUGAGUAUGUUUGAGGCAGGCGGAAUGCGUGGUGUAGCGGUGAAAUGCAUAGAUAUCACGCAGAACCCCGAUUGCGAAGGCAGCCUGCCAAGCCAUGACUGACGCUGAUGCACGAAAGCGUGGGGAUCAAACAGGAUUAGAUACCCUGGUAGUCCACGCAGUAAACGAUGAUAAAUAGCUGUUUGCGAUACACUGUAAGCGGCACAG
Molecule: ribosomal RNA, 726 nt
Filed under: uncultured bacterium
Lineage: Bacteria
Description: bacterial SSU rRNA
Rfam family: Bacterial small subunit ribosomal RNA
Source: RNAcentral